CCCCUCUCACUCUGUCGCUCUGGCCACACUUACCAAAAUACAAACGAAACUACCCUUCUGAUGAAAGUACCCAUUUGGAAGCUAAACCGCCAAUGAUGCUGAUGCCCACAGUUGAUAGCAGUAUAAUGUUUAUCAAGAAGAGGAGCUUGAUGGAGGUGAUUCCUCCAAGUUGGAGGAAUAUGUGGACAGAAUGGCAGCUACGAGUGUUGGUUCUAUUUAGCCUCUCUACCCAAAUAAUUCUCGUCGUUCUGGGCAAGCGCAGAAAGCGUGUUUCGGGAUCUUGGAUCAGAUUUACUGUUUGGUUAGCCUACUUACUCGCUGACUCAAUAGCAUUAAUGGCUGCUGUCAUAAUCUCAAAUGAACUAGGAGGUGUUUACGAUGCCAAUGGUUUAGUUGAUCCAAAGC
This is a long non-coding RNA of Quercus robur (English oak), 405 nucleotides long. RefSeq lists it as uncharacterized. The transcript has 3 exons. The record is from RefSeq and is a predicted model, not a curated record. Lineage: Eukaryota; Viridiplantae; Streptophyta; Magnoliopsida; Fagales; Fagaceae.